UGCGGGUUUGGCGGAAUUGGCAGACGCACCAGAUUUAGGAUCUGGCGCUUAACGGCGUGGGGGUUCAAGUCCCUUAACCCGCAUUAA
RNAcentral lists this transfer RNA (87 nucleotides) under Streptococcus pneumoniae. Its description in RNAcentral is "tRNA-Leu". It matches the Rfam family "tRNA". Rfam says of the family: Transfer RNA (tRNA) molecules are approximately 80 nucleotides in length. Their secondary structure includes four short double-helical elements and three loops (D, anti-codon, and T loops). Further hydrogen bonds mediate the characteristic L-shaped molecular structure. tRNAs have two regions of fundamental functional importance: the anti-codon, which is responsible for specific mRNA codon recognition, and the 3' end, to which the tRNAs corresponding amino acid is attached (by aminoacyl-tRNA synthetases). tRNAs cope with the degeneracy of the genetic code in two manners: having more than one tRNA (with a specific anti-codon) for a particular amino acid; and 'wobble' base-pairing, i.e. permitting non-standard base-pairing at the 3rd anti-codon position. Lineage: Bacteria; Bacillati; Bacillota; Bacilli; Lactobacillales; Streptococcaceae. RNAcentral also lists the same sequence under 11 other names. The record is from RNAcentral.